UCUGGUUGAUCCUGCCAGUAGUCAUAUGCUUGUCUCAAAGAUUAAGCCAUGCAUGUCUAAGUAUAAGCAAUUUAUACAGUGAAACUGCGAAUGGCUCAUUAAAUCAGUUAUCGUUUAUUUGAUAGUUCCUUUACUACAUGGUAUAACUGUGGUAACUCUAGAGCUAAUACAUGCUUAAAAUCUCGACCCUUUGGAAGAGAUGUAUUUAUUAGAUAAAAAAUCAAUGUCUUCGGACUCUUUGAUGAUUCAUAAUAACUUUUCGAAUCGCAUGGCCUUGUGCUGGCGAUGGUUCAUUCAAAUUUCUGCCCUAUCAACUUUCGAUGGUAGGAUAGUGGCCUACCAUGGUUUCAACGGGUAACGGGGAAUAAGGGUUCGAUUCCGGAGAGGGAGCCUGAGAAACGGCUACCACAUCAAAGGAAGGCAGCAGGCGCGCAAAUUACCCAAUCCUAAUUCAGGGAGGUAGUGACAAUAAAUAACGAUACAGGGCCCAUUCGGGUCUUGUAAUUGGAAUGAGUACAAUGUAAAUACCUUAACGAGGAACAAUUGGAGGGCAAGUCUGGUA
This 562-nucleotide ribosomal RNA is filed under the name uncultured eukaryote. Its description in RNAcentral is "SSU rRNA". It matches the Rfam family "Eukaryotic small subunit ribosomal RNA", at positions 1 to 566 of the family's 1831-position model. The record is from RNAcentral.